UACGUAGGGGGCAAGCGUUGUCCGGAAUCAUUGGGCGUAAAGCGCGUGUAGGCGGUCCGGUAAGUCCGCUGUGAAAGUCGGGGGCUCAACCCUCGGAUGCCGGUGGAUACUGUCGGGCUUGAGUACGGAAGAGGCGAGUGGAAUUCCUGGUGUAGCGGUGAAAUGCGCAGAUAUCAGGAGGAACACCAAUUGCGAAGGCAGCUCGCUGGAACGUAACUGACGCUGAGACGCGAAAGCGUGGGGAGCAAACAGG
This 253-nucleotide ribosomal RNA is filed under the name uncultured bacterium. RNAcentral's name for it is "partial 16S ribosomal RNA". It matches the Rfam family "Bacterial small subunit ribosomal RNA", at positions 524 to 776 of the family's 1533-position model. The record is from RNAcentral.